CUGCACUGCUCAGUGACCAGCUGGCCUUUCCCUGACCUCCUUGGUCUCAUUGCAGUGCAAGAGAAACUCCUCCUAGCAGAAGGGCCAGGCUCUCGCCAUGGUCUGUCUCUUUCGAAAGCUGGGUACAACC
RNAcentral lists this small nucleolar RNA (130 nucleotides) under Amazona collaria (yellow-billed parrot). Lineage: Eukaryota; Metazoa; Chordata; Aves; Psittaciformes; Psittacidae. The record is from RNAcentral.